GUAGAAAACACCCCUGCCCCUGCCCACUCCCACCGCUGAGGCGGCUGAGUUCAGGUUAGCAAUAAAAGUAAGGAAGUUGCUGUGAGACCAAGAUGGAAACCACACGCGCCAGUAAUAGCUAACAGCUCCUGAGCCUCAACUCUAUGCCAAGCACUUGCGUAGAAAGAAUCUGCAUUCCAAGAGGAAAACUGACUCCGGGCAUUUAAACCCUAUUGAAUUAGAAUCUCCCUUGACGGAGCCGGGAAACUUGCAUUUUACUUCCAUCUCCAACCCC
This is a long non-coding RNA of Talpa occidentalis (Iberian mole), 274 nucleotides long. RefSeq lists it as uncharacterized. Lineage: Eukaryota; Metazoa; Chordata; Mammalia; Eulipotyphla; Talpidae. The record is from RefSeq and is a predicted model, not a curated record. The transcript has 3 exons.